AUUGAACGCUGGCGGCAGGCCUAACACAUGCAAGUCGAGCGGUAACACAAGGGAGCUUGCUUCUGAGGUGACGAGCGGCGGACGGGUGAGUAAUGCCUAGGGAUCUGCCCAGUCGAGGGGGAUAACAGUUGGAAACGACUGCUAAUACCGCAUACGCCCUACGGGGGAAAGGAGGGGACCUUCGGGCCUUCCGCGAUUGGAUGAACCUAGGUGGGAUUAGCUAGUUGGUGAGGUAAUGGCUCACCAAGGCGACGAUCCCUAGCUGUUCUGAGAGGAUGAUCAGCCASACUGGGACUGAGACACGGCCCAGACUCCUACGGGAGGCAGCAGUGGGGAAUAUUGCACAAUGGGGGAAACCCUGAUGCAGCCAUGCCGCGUGUGUGAAGAAGGCCUUCGGGUUGUAAAGCACUUUCAGUAGGGAGGAAAGGUGAUGUGUUAAUAGCACAUUGCUGUGACGUUACCUACAGAAGAAGGACCGGCUAACUCCGUGCCAGCAGCCGCGGUAAUACGGAGGGUCCGAGCGUUAAUCGGAAU
Molecule: ribosomal RNA, 534 nt
Filed under: Shewanella sp. 4T4E-b
Lineage: Bacteria; Pseudomonadati; Pseudomonadota; Gammaproteobacteria; Alteromonadales; Shewanellaceae
Description: bacterial SSU rRNA
Rfam family: Bacterial small subunit ribosomal RNA
Source: RNAcentral